UAGGGAAUCUUCGGCAAUGGACGAAAGUCUGACCGAGCAACGCCGCGUGAGUGAAGAAGGUUUUCGGAUCGUAAAACUCUGUUGUUAGAGAAGAACGUUGCAUAGAGUGGAAAAUUAUGCAAGUGACGGUAUCUAACCAGAAAGGGACGGCUAACUACGUGCCAGCAGCCGCGGUAAUACGUAGGUCCCGAGCGUUGUCCGGAUUUAUUGGGCGUAAAGCGAGCGCAGGUGGUUUAAUAAGUCUGAUGUAAAAAGGCAGUGGCUCAACCAUUGUGUGCAUUGGAAACUGUUAGACUUGAGUGCAGUAGAGGAGAGUGGAAUUCCAUGUGUAGCGGUGAAAUGCGUAGAUAUAUGGAGGAACACCGGUGGCGAAAGCGGCUCUCUGGACUGUCACUGACACUGAGGCUCGAAAGCGUGGGUAGCAAACAGGAUUAGAUACCCUGGUAGUCCACGCCGUAAACGAUGAGUGCUAGUUGUUUGG
Molecule: ribosomal RNA, 481 nt
Filed under: uncultured bacterium
Lineage: Bacteria
Description: partial 16S ribosomal RNA
Rfam family: Bacterial small subunit ribosomal RNA
Source: RNAcentral